This 253-nucleotide ribosomal RNA is filed under the name uncultured bacterium. RNAcentral's name for it is "partial 16S ribosomal RNA". It matches the Rfam family "Bacterial small subunit ribosomal RNA", at positions 524 to 776 of the family's 1533-position model. The record is from RNAcentral.
UACGUAGGGUCCGAGCGUUGUCCGGAAUUACUGGGCGUAAAGAGCUCGUAGGUGGUUUGUCGCGUUGUUCGUGAAAACUCACAGCUUAACUGUGGGCGUGCGGGCGAUACGGGCAGACUGGAGUACUGCAGGGGAGACUGGAAUUCCUGGUGUAGCGGUGGAAUGCGCAGAUAUCAGGAGGAACACCGGUGGCGAAGGCGGGUCUCUGGGCAGUAACUGACGUUGAGGAGCGAAAGCGUGGGGAGCGAACAGG